Molecule: ribosomal RNA, 856 nt
Filed under: Micrococcus sp.
Lineage: Bacteria; Bacillati; Actinomycetota; Actinomycetes; Micrococcales; Micrococcaceae
Description: bacterial SSU rRNA
Rfam family: Bacterial small subunit ribosomal RNA
Source: RNAcentral
GGGGGGGAGGUUCCGGAAUUAUUGGGGCGUAAGAGCUCGUAGGCGGUUUGUCGCGUCUGUCGUGAAAGUCCGGGGCUUAACCCCGGAUCUGCGGUGGGUACGGGCAGACUAGAGUGCAGUAGGGGAGACUGGAAUUCCUGGUGUAGCGGUGGAAUGCGCAGAUAUCAGGAGGAACACCGAUGGCGAAGGCAGGUCUCUGGGCUGUAACUGACGCUGAGGAGCGAAAGCAUGGGGAGCGAACAGGAUUAGAUACCCUGGUAGUCCAUGCCGUAAACGUUGGGCACUAGGUGUGGGGACCAUUCCACGGUUUCCGCGCCGCAGCUAACGCAUUAAGUGCCCCGCCUGGGGAGUACGGCCGCAAGGCUAAAACUCAAAGGAAUUGACGGGGGCCCGCACAAGCGGCGGAGCAUGCGGAUUAAUUCGAUGCAACGCGAAGAACCUUACCAAGGCUUGACAUGUUCUCGAUCGCCGUAGAGAUACGGUUUCCCCUUUGGGGCGGGUUCACAGGUGGUGCAUGGUUGUCGUCAGCUCGUGUCGUGAGAUGUUGGGUUAAGUCCCGCAACGAGCGCAACCCUCGUUCCAUGUUGCCAGCACGUCGUGGUGGGGACUCAUGGGAGACUGCCGGGGUCAACUCGGAGGAAGGUGAGGACGACGUCAAAUCAUCAUGCCCCUUAUGUCUUGGGCUUCACGCAUGCUACAAUGGCCGGUACAAUGGGUUGCGAUACUGUGAGGUGGAGCUAAUCCCAAAAAGCCGGUCUCAGUUCGGAUUGGGGUCUGCAACUCGACCCCAUGAAGUCGGAGUCGCUAGUAAUCGCAGAUCAGCAACGCUGCGGUGAAUACGUUCCCGGGCCUUGUA